CAGCCGCCGCGGUAAAACAGAGGAUGCAAGCGUUAUCCGGAAUGAUUGGGCGUAAAGCGUCUGUAGGUGGCCUUUUAAGCGUAGGGUAUAAGGCAAUGGCUCAACCAUUGUUCGCCCUAUGAACUGGAAGGCUUGAGUGCAGGAGAGGAAAGCGGAAUUCCUAGUGUAGCGGUGGAAUGCAUAGAUAUUAGGAGGAACAUCAGCGGUGAAGGCGGCUUUCUGGACUGCAACUGACACUGAGGUACGAAAGCGUGGGGAGCAAACAGGAUUAGAUACCCGGGUAGUCCCUGUCUCUUAUACA
This 301-nucleotide ribosomal RNA is filed under the name uncultured bacterium. RNAcentral describes it as "partial 16S ribosomal RNA". It matches the Rfam family "Bacterial small subunit ribosomal RNA", at positions 509 to 808 of the family's 1533-position model. The record is from RNAcentral.